RNA transcript from Diospyros lotus (date-plum), 1550 nucleotides. It is a transcript of the gene named calcium uniporter protein 6, mitochondrial-like, with no coding region annotated. The transcript has 3 exons. The record is from RefSeq and is a predicted model, not a curated record. NCBI's taxonomy places the organism in Eukaryota, Viridiplantae, Streptophyta, Magnoliopsida, Ericales, Ebenaceae.
GGGGGGGGGGGGGGGGGGGAGUGGCCACGAAUGCGCGUCGUCGUCGUUUUAGAGGCGCGGGCGGCCCUGCCCUUUGCCCGCAACAAUAAAUUCGGUUACUUAACGCGGGCAAUGGAACGAAACUUCUCCCCGUGCGGUGAUGUUAAAUAUGAUGUAAUCACAGUACUACGGAUCGCAGCACAGAGAGAGAGAGAGAGAGAGUGAUCUUUUUAGGACAGUGGUUACUUCGUUUUAGGAUGUGGAGAUCGUCUUGUCUUUUGUUGAGUCGGACUCUCAAGUCGGCGGCUCGCUGCGGGCCGUCGCCGCCGCUAGGGUUGAGCCGCCUGUGCGCCGCCGCCGCGUUCUCGACGGAGGGGAGUUCCUGCGGCGGCGGCGGCGGCGGCGGGGGGGAAGGGGAGAGCAUUUCGUUCGCCGAGGCGAAGAGGCUGAUGAGGCUGGUGAAUGUGGAUGCUUUGAAGAUGAAGCUCGGCACGGAGGGGAAGGAGGUGAUCGGCUACUCCGAUCUCCUCCAGGCCUGCGAGGCCAUGGGCGUAGCUAAAUCGCGCGACGAGGCCACCGCCUUUGCGCGCGUUCUCGACGAGGCCGGUGUUAUUCUUCUCUUCAGAGAUAAAGUUUAUCUUCAUCCUGAUAAGGUCGUGGAUCUGGUUAGAAGAGCAGUGCCCCUUGUGCUGUCUUCUGAAGAUGACCCCAGGAGGGAAGAGCUAAAAAUGCUGCAGGAGAAUAAGGGAAAAAUUGACAUGCUGGCUCACAGACAGGUCCGGCGCAUCCUUUGGUCAGGGCUAGGAAUGGCUAUUGUACAGGUCGGGCUCUUCUUUCGCCUGACAUUCUGGGAAUUCUCUUGGGAUGUUAUGGAGCCAAUUGCAUUUUUCGCCACAGCCACUGGCAUAGUCAUUGGUUAUGCCUACUUCCUUUUUACCUCAAGAGACCCAUCUUACCAGGACCUAAUGAAGCGGCUAUAUCUAUCGAGGCAGAGGAGGCUGAUCAAGAAGCAUAAUUUCGAUGUCAACAGGUUCAUGGAAUUACAGAAGCAAUGCAAGCAUCCCUUAGAUGCUUCUCCAAUCACCAAAAAUAGUAGAGGGGCAGAACUCGAACCUGAAGAUGCUUUUCAUUAGGGGAGGGACGAUCUGUUGCUCGACGCAGGUGGGGGAUGGGCGUGGGUCCCACCCCCCAUGGGGCCCAGGCCCCCCUCUCCGCGUCGGGUAAAUCUUAUGUUGCCUGAGUUUCGUUCAUUAGGGGGGCGACACUAAUUUUUGUCUUAUGCAACUUAUGAGGUGUGGGGAGUACACAACUUUAAGCUCUUUACUGGCUUAUGACCAAACACAUUUAAUAUCUCCGUUUGGUGAAUCUCUCUUCCCAUCCCAGAGGAGACUCCCACAUCAGAUUAAAGAUCCUGACUUCGAAGUCUGCUAAAACUGUACAAUGUCUUUAGGAUCACUGUUGAGAUCCAUAUAUUGGUGACCCAAUGAUCUGAAAUGAAAUUCUAUAGUGCUUGGUCUUAGUAGGAGACUUUGUUUUGGUUUUGCCUUUUUCUUUUGAAGAAGAAGAAGAAG